UACGGGGGGGGCAAGCGUUGUUCGGAAUUACUGGGCGUAAAGGGCUCGUAGGCGGCCAACUAAGUCCGACGUGAAAUCCCCAGGCUCAACCUGGGAACUGCGUCGGAUACUGGAUGGCUUGAAUUCGGGAGAGGGAUGCAGAAUUCCAGGUGUAGCGGUGAAAUGCGCAGAUAUCAGGAGGAACACCGGUGGCGAAGGCGGGUCUCUGGGCAACAACUGACGCUGAGGAGCGAAAGCGUGGGGAGCGAACAGG
Molecule: ribosomal RNA, 253 nt
Filed under: uncultured bacterium
Lineage: Bacteria
Description: partial 16S ribosomal RNA
Rfam family: Bacterial small subunit ribosomal RNA
Source: RNAcentral